AUUGAACGCUGGCGGCAGGCCUAACACAUGCAAGUCGAGCGGAUGAAGGGAGCUUGCUCCUGGAUUCAGGGCGGACGGGUGAGUAAUGCCUAGGAAUCUGCCUGGUAGUGGGGGAUAACGUCCGGAACCGGGCGCUAAUACCGCAUACGUCCUGAGGGAGAAAGUGGGGGAUCUUCGGACCUCACGCUAUCAGAUGAGCCUAGGUCGGAUUAGCUAGUUGGUGGGGUAAAGGCCUACCAAGGCGACGAUCCGUAACUGGUCUGAGAGGAUGAUCAGUCACACUGGAACUGAGACACGGUCCAGACUCCUACGGGAGGCAGCAGUGGGGAAUAUUGGACAAUGGGCGAAAGCCUGAUCCAGCCAUGCCGCGUGUGUGAAGAAGGUCUUCGGAUUGUAAAGCACUUUAAGUUGGGAGGAAGGGCAGUAAGUUAAUACCUUGCUGUUUUGACGUUACCAACAGAAUAAGCACCGGCUAACUUCGUG
Molecule: ribosomal RNA, 483 nt
Filed under: uncultured bacterium
Lineage: Bacteria
Description: partial 16S ribosomal RNA
Rfam family: Bacterial small subunit ribosomal RNA
Source: RNAcentral